UACGAAGGGGGCUAGCGUUGCUCGGAAUCACUGGGCGUAAAGCGCACGUAGGCGGGUCGUUAAGUCGGGGGUGAAAUCCUGGAGCUCAACUCCAGAACUGCCUUCGAUACUGGCGAUCUUGAGUCUGGGAGAGGUGAGUGGAAUUCCGAGUGUAGAGGUGGAAUUCGUAGAUAUUCGGAAGAACACCAGUGGCGAAGGCGGCUCACUGGACUGGUAUUGACGCUGAGGUGCGAAAGCGUGGGGAGCAAACAGG
Molecule: ribosomal RNA, 253 nt
Filed under: uncultured bacterium
Lineage: Bacteria
Description: partial 16S ribosomal RNA
Rfam family: Bacterial small subunit ribosomal RNA
Source: RNAcentral